AGCCAGCCGCCCGCCACAAUCCCAGUCAGUCCCAUUGACUGGAGAUUGUCCAGUGGUGGCUAAGAGCAGCGAC
RNAcentral lists this microRNA precursor (73 nucleotides) under Petromyzon marinus (sea lamprey). RNAcentral describes it as "miRNA (ENSPMAG00000011448.1)". The record is from RNAcentral. Lineage: Eukaryota; Metazoa; Chordata; Hyperoartia; Petromyzontiformes; Petromyzontidae.